UAUCUCUCCUUUCAUUUUCUCAGAGUUUUCUAUCGCUGCACCACUGCCUCUAUUUUUGGCAAGAUCAGAGCCAAACCUCAUUGAUAUGUGGUAAAUAGCACCUCUAUUUCACCUUCUCUCUCUCCCUACCCAUUCAUUACAUCGUCACUAUUGGCCUAAUUCCACUGAGAAAUCACUAGAUUUUAUUAUCUCGACACCUUCUGUUCUUUCAAUGUUUCAUCUUCUAUUUUCAUGACAACCAUAGGUCCUCGAUUGGGCUCUUUUAUUCCUUAAACUGUAUCGAAGCUUAGCCAUCGUUGAGCAAGCUAAAACUUGACUCAAUAUUGAGCAACCACCAAUCUUCCUAUUUUUGAUCAAGCCUUGUCUAUUUUUUUCUUUUCUUUCAUCGUGGUCACCAUUACCAUUGCCAGAUGUUGCAAGACCUCAGGAUUUUAUCCUCCACCACUAUCAACAAACCACUACCUUUCACCUCCUCUUUCCUUUCUUAAAAAAGCCUUGAUCUCCCCUCUCUAUUUCUUUCUCUCUUACAUUAUCUUUCUCUCUCUUCAUGUCCCUCGCACUCCCUCUCGAUGUCCUUUGAUAGACCCAAUGAAAGUUUGAUCUAGCAAGUACCAGCAUCUAGGCCUCCACCCUAGCCUUCAUCCAUGGAAAAUCUUUGUCAUACUGCCUUUGCUCUGACUGGACUUCUAUUUCUCAAUCUCGCAGGUUUUACCUAGAAUCAAAUUGAUUCGAGCCAUCAAAUGCCGCCACCUAGCCGACUUUAUCCUCCCUCCAUCACUUUCUUAUGUUUAUAUUAUCACUCUUAUUC
Molecule: long non-coding RNA, 808 nt
Filed under: Elaeis guineensis (African oil palm)
Lineage: Eukaryota; Viridiplantae; Streptophyta; Magnoliopsida; Arecales; Arecaceae
Description: long non-coding RNA (EGUI_LNC009504)
Source: RNAcentral